RNAcentral lists this transfer RNA (91 nucleotides) under Emericellopsis atlantica. It matches the Rfam family "tRNA". Rfam says of the family: Transfer RNA (tRNA) molecules are approximately 80 nucleotides in length. The record is from Rfam by way of RNAcentral. Lineage: Eukaryota; Fungi; Ascomycota; Sordariomycetes; Hypocreales; Bionectriaceae.
UCCGGUAUGGUGUAGUGGCUAACAUUUGACGCUCUCACUUCUCUGAAGCUGAAGCACCGUCAAGCCCAGGGUUCGAUUCCCUGUACCGGAG